This 462-nucleotide ribosomal RNA is filed under the name uncultured bacterium. Its description in RNAcentral is "partial 16S ribosomal RNA". It matches the Rfam family "Bacterial small subunit ribosomal RNA", at positions 28 to 507 of the family's 1533-position model. The record is from RNAcentral.
GACGAACGCUGGCGGCGUGCUUAACACAUGCAAGUCGAGCGGUAAGGCCUUUCGGGGUACACGAGCGGCGAACGGGUGAGUAACACGUGGGUGAUCUGCCCUGCACUUCGGGAUAAGCCUGGGAAACUGGGUCUAAUACCGGAUAUGACCUCCUAUCGCAUGGUGGGUGGUGGAAAGAUUUAUCGGUGCAGGAUGGGCCCGCGGCCUAUCAGCUUGUUGGUGGGAUAAUGGCCUACCAAGGCGACGACGGGUAGCCGACCUGAGAGGGUGACCGGCCACACUGGGACUGAGACACGGCCCAGACUCCUACGGGAGGCAGCAGUGGGGAAUAUUGCACAAUGGGCGAAAGCCUGAUGCAGCGACGCCGCGUGAGGGAUGACGGCCUUCGGGUUGUAAACCUCUUUCAGCAGGGACGAAGCGCAAGUGACGGUACCUGCAGAAGAAGCACCGGCUAACUACGUG